GAUGAACGCUAGCUACAGGCUUAACACAUGCAAGUCGAGGGGAAACGGCAUCGAAAGCUUGCUUUUGAUGGGCGUCGACCGGCGCACGGGUGAGUAACGCGUAUCCAACCUGCCCAUCACUUGGGAAUAACCUUGCGAAAGUAAGACUAAUGCCCAAUGACAUCCCACGAAGGCAUCCGAAUGGGAUUAAAGAUUUAUCGGUGAUGGAUGGGGAUGCGUCCGAUUAGCUUGUUGGCGGGGUGACGGCCCACCAAGGCAACGAUCAGUAGGGGUUCUGAGAGGAAGGUCCCCCACAUUGGAACUGAGACACGGUCCAAACUCCUACGGGAGGCAGCAGUGAGGAAUAUUGGUCAAUGGGCGAGAGCCUGAACCAGCCAAGUAGCGUGCAGGAUGACGGCCCUAUGGGUUGUAAACUGCUUUUAUAAGGGAAUAAAGUGGGUCACGUGUGACUUUUUGCAUGUACCUGAUGAAUAAGGACCGGCUAAUUCCGUG
RNAcentral lists this ribosomal RNA (492 nucleotides) under uncultured bacterium. Its description in RNAcentral is "partial 16S ribosomal RNA". It matches the Rfam family "Bacterial small subunit ribosomal RNA", at positions 28 to 507 of the family's 1533-position model. The record is from RNAcentral.